AGGGCACCACAAGAACGCGUGGAGCAUGUGGCUUAAUUUGACUCAACGCGGGGAAUCUUACCGGGUCCGGACACACUGAGGAUUGACAGACGGUUAUUGACUUAUACUCGCUUAAUGGCUUUAAGCUGUUAAGUGUUUAACACCUUUACACAAAGAUGCUAGUCCUUUCAUGAUCGUUUGAUAGGUGGUGCAUGGCCGUUCUUAGUUCGUGGAGUGAUCUGUCUGCCUAAUUGCGUUUCACUAAGGUCCCAUUCUUCAUACGUAUGAAUAGCGUCUUAACUCACUUUUACCGCUACCUAUUUGUAGUAAGCGCUCAUACUAUUGGGACCGGAAUGCAACGAGCGCGACUGCACCACCUAAUUGCCCCUUAUCUACCAUUAAUUACUUUAUUAACCGCCCUGUACGGGCACCGGGGCCUUACCUUUACUGAAACUAGCUGGACCGCUGCUUUCCUUUAAGCCAGAGGAAGGUUGCGGCAAUAACAGGUCUGUGAUGCCCUCAGAUGUUCCGGGCCGCACACGUGCUACAAUGAUCAGCACAAAGAGUAUUACCUAUCUUCUUAUACCUAACCCAAUAUGUUAAACUUAUUGCGUAAGGGUAUUGUCUUAACGACUUAUCCGCUUUAGCGCUUUAAGAUUAUUGGACGGUUAUGCCUGCCUCGAAAGAGUGUACAGGGCAGCAAGAGUAAUGAUUCCCUCGUUUUUACUACUAAUACCGCGCUUGGUAACAUAUUACACUCGAUUAAGUAGGGUCUUUGCUUUUAAUAGCAAUUGCUAUCCUCACCCUUAGGCUCUAAGGAUAUUACUAUCUCUCUAAGGUCUACAGGGAGGUGUAUAUGGCGCACUUACUUAUUCACGGUGGGGACAGACCAUUGUUAACUG
RNAcentral lists this ribosomal RNA (881 nucleotides) under Globorotalia truncatulinoides. Its description in RNAcentral is "bacterial SSU rRNA". The stretch from base 21 to 527 matches the Rfam family "Eukaryotic small subunit ribosomal RNA", at positions 1178 to 1501 of the family's 1831-position model. The record is from RNAcentral. Lineage: Eukaryota; Foraminifera; Rotaliida; Globorotaliidae.